This 365-nucleotide RNase P RNA is filed under the name Clostridia bacterium. RNAcentral describes it as "RNase P RNA component class A". It matches the Rfam family "Bacterial RNase P class A". Rfam says of the family: Ribonuclease P (RNase P) is a ubiquitous endoribonuclease, found in archaea, bacteria and eukarya as well as chloroplasts and mitochondria. Its best characterised activity is the generation of mature 5'-ends of tRNAs by cleaving the 5'-leader elements of precursor-tRNAs. Cellular RNase Ps are ribonucleoproteins. The record is from RNAcentral. Lineage: Bacteria; Bacillati; Bacillota; Clostridia.
GAACUAAGUUGGACGGUUGCGCGCUAUUGUGCCGAAAGGUAUUAGCGUGAGGAAAGUCCGUGCUUCACAGAGCAGGGUAACUGAUAACGUCAGUCGGAGGCGACUCCCGGGAAAGUGCAACAGAAAAGUACCGCCCGCAAGGGUAAGGAUGAAAACGCGAGGUAAGAGCUCACGAUAUUCUAUGGUAACAUAGAAUAGGUGUAAACCCUACCUGAAGCAACACCGCAUAUGGGGAUUUUAUUUGCUCGAUAAGGCGCCAGCCGUCCCUAUGGGUGGCACGCAAUUUUUGCGGAGCCUUACGGUGACGUAAGGCAAAGAUAGAUGACCGUCGAAUACAGAACACGGCUUAUAGAUUUAGUUCAACU